UACGUAGGGUGCAGGCGUUAAUCGGAAUUACUGGGCGUAAAGCGUGCGCAGGCGGUUUGCUAAGACAGGUGUGAAAUCCCCGGGCUUAACCUGGGAACUGCCUUUGUGACUGCAUGGCUAGAGUACGGUAGAGGGGGAUGGAAUUCCGCGUGUAGCAGUGAAAUGCGUAGAUAUGCGGAGGAACACCGAUGGCGAAGGCAAUCCCCUGGACCUGUACUGACGCUCAUGCACGAAAGCGUGGGGAGCAAACAGG
RNAcentral lists this ribosomal RNA (253 nucleotides) under uncultured bacterium. RNAcentral's name for it is "partial 16S ribosomal RNA". It matches the Rfam family "Bacterial small subunit ribosomal RNA", at positions 524 to 776 of the family's 1533-position model. The record is from RNAcentral.